Molecule: ribosomal RNA, 662 nt
Filed under: Shewanella corallii
Lineage: Bacteria; Pseudomonadati; Pseudomonadota; Gammaproteobacteria; Alteromonadales; Shewanellaceae
Description: bacterial SSU rRNA
Rfam family: Bacterial small subunit ribosomal RNA
Source: RNAcentral
AGAGUUUGAUCCUGGCUCAGAUUGAACGCUGGCGGCAGGCCUAACACAUGCAAGUCGAGCGGUAACAGGAAGUAGCUUGCUACUUUGCUGACGAGCGGCGGACGGGUGAGUAAUGCCUGGGAAUUUGCCCAUUCGAGGGGGAUAACAGUUGGAAACGACUGCUAAUACCGCAUACGCCCUACGGGGGAAAGGAGGGGACCUUCGGGCCUUCCGCGAAUGGAUAAGCCCAGGUGGGAUUAGCUAGUAGGUGAGGUAAUGGCUCACCUAGGCGACGAUCCCUAGCUGUUCUGAGAGGAUGAUCAGCCACACUGGGACUGAGACACGGCCCAGACUCCUACGGGAGGCAGCAGUGGGGAAUAUUGCACAAUGGGCGAAAGCCUGAUGCAGCCAUGCCGCGUGUGUGAAGAAGGCCUUCGGGUUGUAAAGCACUUUCAGCGAGGAGGAAAGGUUACUGGCUAAUAUCCAGUAGCUGUGACGUUACUCGCAAAAAAAGCACCGGCUAACUCCGUGCCAGCAGCCGCGGUAAUACGGAGGGUGCGAGCGUUAAUCGGAAUUACUGGGCGUAAAGCGUGCGCAGGCGGUUUUGUUUAAGCGAGAUGUGAAAGCCCCGGGCUCAACCUGGGGAACUGCAUUUUUGAACUGGCAAACUAGAGUCUUGUAGA